AACGAACGCUGGCGGCAUGCCUAACACAUGCAAGUCGAACGAGACCUUCGGGUCUAGUGGCGCACGGGUGCGUAACGCGUGGGAACCUGCCUUUAGGUUCGGAAUAACUCAGAGAAAUUUGAGCUAAUACCGGAUGAUGUCUUCGGACCAAAGAUUUAUCGCCUUUAGAUGGGCCCGCGUUGGCUUAGCUAGUUGGUGGGGUAAAGGCCUACCAAGGCGACGAUCCAUAGCUGGUCUGAGAGGAUGAUCAGCCACACUGGGACUGAGACACGGCCCAGACUCCUACGGGAGGCAGCAGUGGGGAAUAUUGGACAAUGGGCGAAAGCCUGAUCCAGCAAUGCCGCGUGAGUGAUGAAGGCCUUAGGGUUGUAAAGCUCUUUUACCCGAGAUGAUAAUGACAGUAUCGGGAGAAUAAGCUCCGGCUAACUCCGUG
Molecule: ribosomal RNA, 433 nt
Filed under: uncultured bacterium
Lineage: Bacteria
Description: partial 16S ribosomal RNA
Rfam family: Bacterial small subunit ribosomal RNA
Source: RNAcentral